This 129-nucleotide small nucleolar RNA is filed under the name Mus pahari (shrew mouse). The record is from RNAcentral. Lineage: Eukaryota; Metazoa; Chordata; Mammalia; Rodentia; Muridae.
CCAAAGUGUUGAGUUCAGGUCAGGGCAGCUACCCUGUUCUCUUAAUUAAACUUUGGGACAUUGAAAUUGGCUGAGGGAAAUUACUGAAUAGAGAGUAUUACUCUAUUCAUAUACUUCUAGCCUACACAA